UUUUUUUUUUUCAUUUUACAAAAGUGCAGAGUUAAAUGGAAAUUGACACUUUUUAUUUUUUUUAUAAAUAAACCUGGUUUCAAGCGGACAAAAGGUCCUGUUACUUCUUAGUUCUUUAGAUCAUUGUAUCUAAACUCAAGAGGCAGAUUAUUGCCCAGAGAAUAUGCCUUGUAAAGACUUCUCAUUAAGCUGCAUUGUGAAGUCUGUGAUUGGACAGCCACAGAAAAUCUGGACGGGGUUAGAAAGGGAGCGCUUGCAAAGGCAGCAGACACGAUAUCUGCAGGUUUUAGAUAUACCCCAAUAAUAAUUUACAAUUAAAUGAAUGCAUAUUUUCACUUGGGGUAUAUCUACUAAGUAGUGAUUUUAUUUUACAUUUGGGCAGUGGAGGGUCCAUUUAACAAAUUCAUUCAUAUACAUUAAUUAAAGCUGCUGCUCAAAGUUAUUCUAUUACUAUUAGUAUUUUAUUUACACACGCCCCCACUAUACCCUGUAGGCUGUUAGAAUGUUGCUAGUAACUCCAUUUAUUUUAUUUUCAUGAAAAGUACUAGGUCCUGUUGUUAAAUAGACUGCCUGAUUGCUUUGUAUAAGAUAG
This is a non-coding RNA of Pelobates cultripes (western spadefoot toad), 592 nucleotides long. The record is from the annotation of a GenBank genome assembly. NCBI's taxonomy places the organism in Eukaryota, Metazoa, Chordata, Amphibia, Anura, Pelobatidae.